Molecule: ribosomal RNA, 402 nt
Filed under: uncultured bacterium
Lineage: Bacteria
Description: bacterial SSU rRNA
Rfam family: Bacterial small subunit ribosomal RNA
Source: RNAcentral
UCGAGCACGCGCAGACUUACCAACCCUUGACAUGGGUAUCGCGGGGCCGGAACGGUCCUUUCAGUUCGGCUGGAUACCACACAGGUGCUGCAUGGCUGUCGUCAGCUCGUGUCGUGAGAUGUUCGGUUAAGUCCGGCAACGAGCGCAACCCACACUUUCAGUUGCCAUCAUUCGGUUGGGCACUCUGGAAGAACUGCCGGUGAUAAGCCGGAGGAAGGUGUGGAUGACGUCAAGUCCUCAUGGCCCUUACGGGUUGGGCUACACACGUGCUACAAUGGUGGUGACAAUGGGUUAAUCCCCAAAAGCCAUCUCAGUUCGGAUUGUCGCCUGCAACUCGGCGGCAUGAAGUCGGAAUCGCUAGUAAUCGCGUAACAGCAUGACGCGGUGAAUACGUUCCCGGGC